AUGGAAAGAAUCAUUAAAAUCACGGAUGUCUUGUGUUUGAAACUUCAACAUAAAUCUUUAGACAUUGCAAAUGCAUUAGAUUGUGUUUCUAACACAAAGGUGUUGCUUCAUGAACUAAGGGAAGAUGGAUGGUGCAGCCUUUUUGAAGAUGUGAAAUCCUUUUGUGUGAAACAUGAUAUUGACAUUCCGGACAUGGAUCAAAAGUAUGUUGAUGUGAUGAAAUCUCGAAAUAAGCAUGACAACGCCACAGCUAUCCAUCAUUACAAAGUGGAUGUGUUUAAUGUUGCAAUAGAUCAACAAGUGAUAGAGUUGAAUGAUCGAUUCAGUUCUCAAGUAACUGAGCUUUUAGAUCUUUGUUCAUCAUUGGACCCGAGGCAUGAUGCCUUCAGCAAGUCAAAGAUAUGCAGACUAGUGGAGAAAUUCUAUCCUGCAGAUUUUUCUAGUCAAGAAAGAGAUCGGUUGGAGUGCGAGCUACUACAUUUCCAGCUUGAUACAUUCAACCAUCCAGAGAUCAAGAACUGCAGAUCACUUGCUGAUCUAACGAAAGGAAUAGUUAAGAUUGGCAAGUCUUCUGACUAUCCAAUGGUUGAGAGGUUGUUACGAUUGAUGAUAACUCGUGUACUGCAACAGCAGAGCGAGCCUUUUCUGCAAUGA
This 654-nucleotide ribosomal RNA is filed under the name Triticum aestivum (bread wheat). Its description in RNAcentral is "partial small subunit ribosomal RNA". Lineage: Eukaryota; Viridiplantae; Streptophyta; Magnoliopsida; Poales; Poaceae. The record is from RNAcentral.